This 82-nucleotide transfer RNA is filed under the name Entomophthora muscae. RNAcentral's name for it is "tRNA-Ser". Lineage: Eukaryota; Fungi; Entomophthoromycota; Entomophthoromycetes; Entomophthorales; Entomophthoraceae. The record is from RNAcentral.
AAAAAAUUGGCAGAGUGGUUAACGCAGAGCCCUGCUAAGGCUUUGCCCUUUGGGAGCGCAGGUUUUAACCCUGUGGGUGUUG